AACGAACGCUGGCGGCAGGCCUAAAACAUGCAAGUCGAACGAACCUUCGGGUUAGUGGCGCACGGGUGCGUAACGCGUGGGAAUGUGCCUCUGGGUGCGGAACAACGUCGGGAAACUGACGCUAAUACCGCAUAAUAUCUACGGAUCAAAGAUUUAUCGCCCAGAGAUCAGCCCGCGUCUGAUUAGGUAGUUGGUAGGGUGAUGGCCUACCAAGCCUACGAUCAGUAGCUGGUCUGAGAGGAUGAUCAGCCACACUGGAACUGAGACACGGUCCAGACUCCUACGGGAGGCAGCAGUUAGGAAUAUUGGACAAUGGGGGAAACCCUGAUCCAGCCAUGCCGCGUGUGUGAAGAAGGCCUUAGGGUUGUAAAGCACUUUCGUCUAUGAAGAUAAUGACAGUAGUAGAAGAAGAAGCUCCGGCUAAAUUCGUGCCAGCAGCCGCAGUAA
RNAcentral lists this ribosomal RNA (447 nucleotides) under uncultured bacterium. RNAcentral's name for it is "partial 16S ribosomal RNA". It matches the Rfam family "Bacterial small subunit ribosomal RNA", at positions 29 to 523 of the family's 1533-position model. The record is from RNAcentral.